GCCUCAAGGUAGCGUAAUAAUUAGUUUAGCAAUUCUAUCCAUGUAUGAAGAUAAAACAAUGAAGAUAUUUUUUCUCCCCUUAUAAGAAUUUUAAUUUUCAUUGAAAAUGAUGAAAUGAUUUAAAAAGACGAUAAGACCCUAGAAUCUUGACUGAGUUUUGUUGGGAUAACAAGUUUUAGUAAUAAAAUUGUUUCAACCUAAUAGUUGUGAACCAUAUUAACGUUUUAAGAAGAAGAUACUCUAGGGAUAACAGCACAAGUUUAUUUUAGAGCUCGAAUCGAAAAUAAGAUUGUGACCUCGAUGUUGAAUUAAAGUAGGGCAGCUGCAGGAGGUUAGCCAAGUUAAGUCUGUUCGACUUGAAAACUUUACAUGAUUUGAGUUAAGAUCGACGUAA
Molecule: ribosomal RNA, 394 nt
Filed under: Lernanthropus belones
Lineage: Eukaryota; Metazoa; Arthropoda; Copepoda; Siphonostomatoida; Lernanthropidae
Description: partial 16S ribosomal RNA
Rfam family: Bacterial large subunit ribosomal RNA
Source: RNAcentral